GACGAACGCUGGCGGCGUGCCUAAUACAUGCAAGUAGAACGCUGAAGGAGGAGCUUGCUUCUCUGGAUGAGUUGCGAACGGGUGAGUAACGCGUAGGUAACCUGCCUGGUAGCGGGGGAUAACUAUUGGAAACGAUAGCUAAUACCGCAUAAGGGUAGAUGUUGCAUGACAUUUGCUUAAAAGGUGCAAUUGCAUCACUACCAGAUGGACCUGCGUUGUAUUAGCUAGUUGGUGGGGUAACGGCUCACCAAGGCGACGAUACAUAGCCGACCUGAGAGGGUGAUCGGCCACACUGGGACUGAGACACGGCCCAGACUCCUACGGGAGGCAGCAGUAGGGAAUCUUCGGCAAUGGACGGAAGUCUGACCGAGCAACGCCGCGUGAGUGAAGAAGGUUUUCGGAUCGUAAAGCUCUGUUGUAAGAGAAGAACGAGUGUGAGAGUGGAAAGUUCACACUGUGACGGUAUCUUACCAGAAAGAGACGGCUAACUACGUG
RNAcentral lists this ribosomal RNA (495 nucleotides) under uncultured bacterium. RNAcentral's name for it is "partial 16S ribosomal RNA". It matches the Rfam family "Bacterial small subunit ribosomal RNA", at positions 28 to 507 of the family's 1533-position model. The record is from RNAcentral.